Long non-coding RNA from Parus major (Great Tit), 2712 nucleotides. The record is from Ensembl. NCBI's taxonomy places the organism in Eukaryota, Metazoa, Chordata, Aves, Passeriformes, Paridae.
CAAAGCUCAGCUGGUGGGGGUGAUCCAGAGGCACCGUCAACAGUACGCACUUGAUCCAGAGACAGUCACCAGAGCUGUGUUAGAAACUUCUAGGUACCUACUGGAGCUCAUCUUCAGGUGUGUAAGAAAUCAGAUGGAUGACAUCAAUUCAGGCAAUUGCAUUCUUCUGGAGUGACAUGUUAGGCGCCUACAUGCCUUUUUAAAUUUUCUCUUCAAUAUCUACAAUUUUUUGCAGGAAAUGUUUCAUGCUGGAUGUACACUGAGAAAGAAGUGCUGAAGUCACUUAAAGGACUGGGCAAACUCCCUAAACCUCCUGGUUUGGUCUGAUUGAAUGAGUUCUUGGGAAUAUAUGCCCUCAACUGGCCCCCUGAAAUCUGUGAAUCUGAAGUAUAAGGAGGGCUUAACAUAGUUACUGAGCAGACCUUAGGACUCCUUGAACAGCAGAAAUAUAAAUGCUAUUUCCUUCAACGAUAUGUAGAGUAUAUCUUGUUCUAUAUGCUGGGCCAGCCAGCACCUUAGGAGCAUAAUUUGACUUCCCUAGGCACUCCUGUGGAAGUCUCGGAGGAAGCAGUGGGCAGUGGAUAAUGCAGGGAUUGUGCUUUGGUAGAGGCCAAAGCUGGAGGGAAGAAGUUGGUGCACUGGACUAUCCCAUAUCCUACCAUAUACAGAUGAGCACCAUUGAGGCCAAAGACUGAACACAAUGGGAAAAUUGGUCUUCCAAUACCUUUUAUUUCCAGGAUGGGCAGAGGUACUUGGAACUUUGCACUAUGGCUUGCUGGUUUUACUUCCAGGCUUGGACUGGCAGAUACAAAGAUGGCAACAAUGGGACUGAAAAUAACAGGAAAAAAACAGCAGUUUGAAGGAGAACAAGGAGAUCCAGCUGAAGGAGAACUGGAGCUGAACACAGGUUUCCUACCUCUGGGGCAGGGUUCAUUGGGCAUCAUUGCACCACUACCAUCAGGGCUGGCUCCCUUGUCAAGCAGAGAACAAAAGGAUGUUGUAGGUCCCCUCUGAGUCCUAUACCUGGCUUGCUAAACCUGUAUUGUGAUGCUUUGUCAGGUAAAAUACAUAAUUUGGACAUAUUGUUUGAUGAUCUCACACUAGGAUUUCACACCACACUAUAGAUGAAAAUGUUGAUUGAGUUAUUUUUAACAGUCAUGAUAUUAGUUAAACCUGAUUAACAGAUUAUUUUCCACUGACAUCACUUCUUUAUUCUAUUUACAAGCUAAAUAAGCCAGACACUCAAUUGAUAAAUGCUCAUUUCCCUCCAUCUUAAUUAACCAAAUAUUCUUUUACUUAAACAAUCCCUCAUUUUUCCAUAGACACAGUAAUAGAUCCAUUAAAAGGGUCUAUCUGAUACCAGGGAUCUUUUAUUUAUGAGUACAAGUCCAAAUGGUUACUAUUUUUUAAUGUUUUUAUUUUCCUUGAUACUGUACACCAUGUAAUGGCUUUGGUCCAAACAGUAAUCACACGAUGGGUGCCGUUUCUUCUUUCUUGACCUAUCACACUCCACAUGAUUUAAUCCAUUGUUUUGGAUGUUGCCAAUGAUUUAUUGUAUGAAAAAUGUAAAUGAUCUGGAUGGCAGAUGUUUUAUAUUUUCUGACCAUUCAUUUUCAGUGGGAAUGUAAUUAAAAUUUAUGAAGUGUAUCUGCUGAAUUGCAUUGGCAAUUGAUGAUCUCCUCCAGUGCUGUCUGUCUGGAGAUGAUGAGUGAUUGUGGACAGUGAGAUGUGUUGACAAGGGCAGAAACAGACGUGAUGUUACUGUCAUGAGUGAGGCUACCUGCAAAAAGGCUGCUGGUUUUUUUCUCCCUUUUUUCCCACAGGAAGAAGGUGGCAACCAGAGCUGUCUUUCUUCUUGCAAGACAGAGUACAAAGCCUCUGAACACUCCUGAAAGCUGUCACUCUUCACAAGUGCCAUCUCUGUCUCUCCUAGCAAUGGGCAUCUGGAAGCCAUGAUACCAGUUAUAACAACCCAUGUCAAGGAUAUUAAUUAAAUUCCUGAUGGCCACCCAGAGAAGCUAAUGAGUGUAAAUUUCACAACAUCCCAACUCAUAAGGCAGCCCACUUAACCUUUUCAGUGUUGAUAUCGUUCUUCCAGGAGGGAAGUAAAGAAGUGAGCUGUUUGCUGAGGGAUCAUGUAAAGGAGAAACAGGGAAAGGAGGAGAUGCUUGGUCUGGCACAGUUUAAAAUACAAACAGAUCAGAACUGGAUCUGCUGGAUUCGGAUAUCCCACAACAGAAUAGGAAGGGGUUUUUUUUCAGAACUGAGAUCCUAGAUAGCAUUUUGCACAGAGCCCUUAUUGCUAUGAAUCUGAGUGGCUCUUCUCACCUCAGCUCCUUCCAGCUCCAUGAGCAAGAGAAGCAGCUCUUUUUUUAACCCCAGUGAGGUAUACUUACUGGACUUUGAAUUUCCCCUGCUCUUGACACUGCACACCUCUUACAUUUCUGAGUGCUGUGGAGGACAGAAUAUGUAAUUACUAUCAUCCCACCAUACAGUUACCUCUACAGUAAAUGUACAGACAGCCUAGAUUAACAGGUAGUGAAUCAUGUAAGUGCUAUGGGACCAACAACUGGAACUGGGGAAUUUCUGACACCCAUCUUUAUCAUCAGGGAUUUUGAUCACUUGAAUGUUCAAAGUGUUUUCUUAAUUCACAAACCUCAUUUAGGAUAUCUAACAUUAGGCACUAAUAAAAAUGCCUUCGCUCUAAAGUCA